This is a long non-coding RNA of Oncorhynchus tshawytscha (Chinook salmon), 2255 nucleotides long. RefSeq lists it as uncharacterized. The transcript has 2 exons. Lineage: Eukaryota; Metazoa; Chordata; Actinopteri; Salmoniformes; Salmonidae. The record is from RefSeq and is a predicted model, not a curated record.
GGAUGAAACUGAGGAAUAGACAGAUAUAGGGGAGGCAAUCAAUAAAGUGAUGAAGUCCAGGUGAGUCCAAUGAAGCACUCAUGCGUGCAAAGAUGGUGACAGGUGUGCGCAAUGAUGGGCAGCCCGGCGCACUUGACUGGGACUGCAAGAGAGGGGAAGCGGGAGCAGUGUGACAGUUCUAAACAUUUUACUCAACAUAAGGCUUUGAUUUCAACUUCAAUGUUUCUGAAAUCAUGAAGACUCUCAGGACUACUCAAAAGAAACACAAGGGUUGGCUCUGGGUCAAAAAGUAACAUAAACCCUCAUACAGCACGCCCGCCAAGACUGCAGAGGAGGAGGCAGGAGGGAAGGGAUUGCUGUGACUGCCCCAUCAUAAAAACAGAAUCUGAGGACAUCACAUCAACAACAGCUUCCGCCAGAGGUUUACGACCAGAGAGUGAAACCACUGAGGCUGGAUGAAACCAGGGGCUGUCGGGCAGUUGUCAGAAAGUGUCCUCUCUUCUUCCUUAGGGCCUGUUGGGUCCAAUGUUCUUUUCCGACACAAAAUACCUCCGUCCAUCGGUCUUUAAGGGAGAAUGAAAUAUGGAUAGAAGGAUGAAUGAAUGGAAAUAUGAGUGUAAGGAAGAAUGGAGGGAUGGGUGAAUGAGUGUAAUGAGGGGAGGAGAGAUGAGUUUAAUAAAAGAAGGAUGAAUGACUGUAGUAGACAGACACACACAACCUCCCUGAUGCAAAAAAGGGAACAGUGAAUGUUAAUGAGAUAACAUCUCGAUACAGACUGGCUCAUCAUAUCUGUAUGUAACAUUCAUGAUGACCUGCAGUGACAUGGAACCUCGAUCUCUUCUGACAGGAAGUAGCGUUGCAGUGGCCUAACCCAGGGAGAGACACAGCCCCCGGUGGUGGCCCUUGGCACUGACACAUCUUGGCAGACACACUUCACAAGGUCACCAGUGCAUUAAAGCAACAGUAAAGGUUAAAGCUGAAGUAACUGACUGCCCAGUCUCACACGACCCCGGGGCUGCUUUCAACAACUCUGUCCUGUCACAUUCCUUCUAGCUCGUUCAUUUUCUCGAAGCAAUGUUUGACAUUUGUUAUUUUCUCUGGGAGUUUAGCUAAUACUAAUUCCUGUGAAAUUCCUCGUGUUGAUUUGGUAAAAGAGCACAGGCUACACAACUCAAAAAGCUUCUGUAGUCCAGAAUGGGAACGCAAAUCCCCCAUCCCCAUCAAAGCAUUGUGGAGUCACUUUGAGUGACUUUAAUACUGAUUAAGCUGACAAUGGUGUGAUGGCUUGAGCCUUCUGGAGAUGGACCUUAUAUUAGGAAAUAGGCCAGGCACUGUGCAGUGGUAGUGGUCAGGACUGAGCCAUACAUACGUAUAUCCUCUUCUUACAGCCCCUCCUGACCUUGUGAAGGGUUUAUGGCUGAACAAGGUAAAGGUUUUUGUCAGCAUAAACUGUUAUUGUGCUCCUCUGCCACGGCGGGAAACAUCCUGACUCGGCACAGUCCGAAAUACAGUAUAUCCCUCCCCCUGGUAUGUUUCAUCCGUUUAUCCUUUCAAGGGUGACUGUGAGUGCCGUGGUCUGGAAUUCACACUCUGUCUCUCUAUCCUUUUUUUUCUCCCUCUCUCUCUUUUACUCCAUCUUCUGACUCUCUCUCUCUGAGUAGAAAGGAACAUGGAGAACCGAGGCCAUCCAACAACAUUGGCAAAAUAUUAGGGAGUUUCACACUUUCAAGUUUAUGGGGAUAGCAUAAGAAAACCAAAGUCACAAUUUCUAGACAAGGCCUAUAGCCUUUAAUCAUACUGUGUCGGUCUGAGGAGAAUGAAGCAUUUGUGUUUUGAUUGAUUGAUGGAUUCCAACGUAACCAAGUACUUCAGAAGCAUAUGUAGCAAACAAGAACAACGCAUCAAUCAAGACAGCAAGAGGAUCCAGCUGUCUCCAGCAUCAGUCAGUCUGGAGCAUCUGACUACUCUGCUCUUAAAUCAUCCUGGAGAGAAACAAAUUGUUCUGUCUUUACGGCAGAGUUUCCGACACGUCAACAGAAACUGAAUGAACUUCCAAGCAUUUCAAAUAUCAGGUACUGAAAAAAGUACAUUGAAAACAGGUUUUUAUUGUAAACAUGUCUCAAUAUUCUUGUUCUGUCUGUAUGAUUGAUUUGUGCUGUUUUUAAAGAUGGAACACAGGAAUAAUUGUUGUUGCUAUAAAGUAACAGACAAUGAAUAAAGAAAUCACCUGUAAGUAAGUGAACGUUGUCACCUCA